This 118-nucleotide ribosomal RNA is filed under the name agricultural soil bacterium CRS5635T18-1. Its description in RNAcentral is "partial 16S ribosomal RNA". It matches the Rfam family "Bacterial small subunit ribosomal RNA", at positions 372 to 507 of the family's 1533-position model. The record is from RNAcentral.
UGGGCGCAAGCCUGAUCCAGCCAUGCCGCGUGAGUGAUGAAGGCCUUAGGGUUGUAAAGCUCUUUCGGCGGGGACGAUAAUGACGGUACCCGCAGAAGAAGCCCCGGCUAACUUCGUG